GGGGAAUAUUGGACAAUGGGCGCAAGCCUGAUCCAGCAAUGCCGCGUGGGUGAAGACGGCCUGCGGGUUGUAAAGCCCUUUAGGCGGGGAGGAACGGCGGGGUGCCAAGACCACCUCGCGCUGACGUUACCCGUGGAAUAAGCACCGGCUAACUCCGUGCCAGCAGCCGCGGUAAUACGGAGGGUGCGAGCGUUAAUCGGAAUUACUGGGCGUAAAGCGUGCGUAGGCGGUUUCGUCAGUCAGCCGUGAAAGCCCCGGGCUCAACCUGGGAAUGGCGGUUGAGACGGCGUGACUGGAGUGGGCUAGAGGAUCGUGGAAUUCCGGGUGUAGCGGUGAAAUGCGUAGAGAUCCGGAGGAACACCGAUGGCGAAGGCAGCGGUCUGGGGCCACACUGACGCUGAGGCACGAAAGCGUGGGGAGCAAAC
RNAcentral lists this ribosomal RNA (425 nucleotides) under uncultured bacterium. RNAcentral describes it as "bacterial SSU rRNA". It matches the Rfam family "Bacterial small subunit ribosomal RNA", at positions 356 to 773 of the family's 1533-position model. The record is from RNAcentral.